AAAUUUGAGCGGUAGAUCACUCGAAUAGUGUAUCGAUGAAGAGUGGAAAAAAGGUGUGUAACAAUGUGGACUCCUUAACGCUUUGAAUAUCGACAUCUUGAACGCAUACUGCAGCUACUGCGAUAUCCGGUGGCCACGUUUGUUCAAGGGUCA
Molecule: ribosomal RNA, 153 nt
Filed under: Trichobilharzia regenti
Lineage: Eukaryota; Metazoa; Platyhelminthes; Trematoda; Strigeidida; Schistosomatidae
Description: 5.8S ribosomal RNA
Rfam family: 5.8S ribosomal RNA
About the family: 5.8S ribosomal RNA (5.8S rRNA) is a component of the large subunit of the eukaryotic ribosome. It is transcribed by RNA polymerase I as part of the 45S precursor that also contains 18S and 28S rRNA.
Source: Rfam by way of RNAcentral